AUUGAAUCUGCCCGUGCAGAAGCGGGUAUAUAAAUACAAGACGAGAAGACCCUUUGGAGCUUAGAUAAAAAUCAACUAUGUCAAAUAUUUACUAAAUAAAACUAAAUAGUAACUGAUCAUAAUCUUCGGUUGUGCGACACGGGCCAAUUCAAGCCGAUAAAAAAGAACAAGUUACCCUAGGGAUAACAGCGCAAUCCCCAAGUCCAAGAGUUCAUAUCGACAAGGGGGUUGGUACGACCUCGAUGUUGGAUCAGGACAUCCUAAUGGUGCAGCCGCUAUUAAGGGUUCGUUUGUUCAACGAUUAAAGUCCUACGUGAUCUGAGUUCAGAC
Molecule: ribosomal RNA, 330 nt
Filed under: Lophiosilurus alexandri (Pac-Man catfish)
Lineage: Eukaryota; Metazoa; Chordata; Actinopteri; Siluriformes; Pseudopimelodidae
Description: partial large subunit ribosomal RNA
Rfam family: Bacterial large subunit ribosomal RNA
Source: RNAcentral